CCUACGGGGCGCAGCAGUGGGGAAUAUUGCACAAUGGGGGAAACCCUGAUGCAGCGACGCCGCGUGAGUGAAGAAGUCAUUCGUUAUGUAAAGCUCUAUCUGCAGGGAAGAAAAUGACGGUACCUGAGUAAGAAGCCCCGGCUAACUACGUGCCAGCAGCCGCGGUAAUACGUAGGGGGCAAGCGUUAUACGGAUUUACUGGGUGUAAAGGGAGCGUAGACGGCAGUGCAAGUCUGGAGUGAAAGGCGGGGGCUCAACCCCCGGACUGCUCUGGAAACUGUACGGCUGGAGUGCAGGAGAGGUAAGUGGAAUUCCUAGUGUAGCGGUGAAAUGCGGAGAUAUUAGGAGGAACACCAGUGGCGAAGGCGGCUUACUGAACUGUAACUGACGUUGAGGCUCGAAAGCGUGGGGAGCAAACAGGAUUAGAUACCCGAGUAGUC
This 440-nucleotide ribosomal RNA is filed under the name uncultured bacterium. RNAcentral's name for it is "partial 16S ribosomal RNA". It matches the Rfam family "Bacterial small subunit ribosomal RNA", at positions 338 to 795 of the family's 1533-position model. The record is from RNAcentral.